UGAAAAGAACCUGAAACCGUUACGGGGGAAGCGAAUUGCGUCGAAUUGAUUUUAUGGGGGGUGCACUGUUCAGCGCGUUUUGCGUGUACUCAGGGCAUUUUUCCUUACCCGUCGUGGGUUUUUGGAUGGUCGAAUUUGGGCCGUCUAGGACUGAGGGAUCCUCUUUUUUUAAUAUAAGGGUGAGGACGACGGGGCGCUGACGCGAUACGACCCGUCUUGAAACACGGACCAAGGAGUUCAGCAUAUGUGCGAGUCAAAGGGUGGUGAAACCUGAGGGCGCAGUGAAAGCGAUUUAACACGGAUCGUGUAAGAACUAAAACAUAUAAUUUUCAGUUUUAAGGCGGCAUACAAUGGGUGAUUGUAGGACCGACCUCGAGCAGAUAUGCUGAGACCCGAAAGAUGGUGAACUAUGCCGGAGUAGGGCGAAGCCAGAGGAAACUCUGGUGGAGGCUCGUAGCGGUGCUGACGUGCAAAUCGCUCGUCUGACUUGGGUAUAGGGGCGAAAGACUAAUCGAACCAUCUAGUAGCUGGUUUCCUCCGAAGU
This 544-nucleotide ribosomal RNA is filed under the name Acrosorium sp. LLG-2014. RNAcentral's name for it is "eukaryotic LSU rRNA". It matches the Rfam family "Eukaryotic large subunit ribosomal RNA", at positions 389 to 967 of the family's 3401-position model. Lineage: Eukaryota; Rhodophyta; Florideophyceae; Ceramiales; Delesseriaceae. The record is from RNAcentral.